CCUACGGGUGGCAGCAGUGAGGAAUAUUGGUCAAUGGGCGCGAGCCUGAACCAGCCAAGUAGCGUGAAGGAUGACUGCCCUACGGGUUGUAAACUUCUUUUAUAAAGGAAUAAAGUGAGGCACGUGUGCCUUGUUGUGUGUACUUUAUGAAUAAGGAUCGGCUAACUCCGUGCCAGCAGCCGCGGUAAUACGGAGGAUCCGAGCGUUAUCCGGAUUUAUUGGGUUUAAAGGGAGCGUAGGCUGUUAGGUAAGUCAGCGGGGAAAUGCCCCCGCUCAACGGGGUGAAGUGCCAUUGAUACUGGCAUGCUGGAAUGCGGAUGCGGUGGGAGGAAUGUGUGGUGUAGCGGUGAAAUGCAUAGAUAUCACACAGAACACCGAGUGCGAAGGCAUCUCACGAAUCCGCGAUUGACGCUGAUGCACGAAAGCGUGGGUAUCAAACAGGAUUAGAUACCCGUGUAGUC
Molecule: ribosomal RNA, 461 nt
Filed under: uncultured bacterium
Lineage: Bacteria
Description: partial 16S ribosomal RNA
Rfam family: Bacterial small subunit ribosomal RNA
Source: RNAcentral